AGAGAGUGCGAGCGUUAAUCGGAAUUACUGGGCGUAAAGCGCACGUAGGCGGAUACUUUAGUCGGGUGUGAAAGCCCUAGGCUUAACCUAGGAAUUGCAUUCGAUACUGGGUGUCUAGAGUAUGGUAGAGGGAAGUGGAAUUUCCGGUGUAGCGGUGAAAUGCGUAGAUAUCGGAAGGAACACCAGUGGCGAAGGCGGCUUCCUGGACCAAUACUGACGCUGAGGUGCGAAAGCGUGGGGAGCAAACAGGAUUAGAGACCCUGGUAGUCCACGCUGUCAACGAUGAGAACUAGACGUUGGAGGGUUUACCCUUUAGUGUCGAAGCUAACGCGCUAAGUUCUCCGCCUGGGGAGUACGGUCGCAAGAUUA
RNAcentral lists this ribosomal RNA (369 nucleotides) under uncultured organism. Its description in RNAcentral is "partial 16S ribosomal RNA". It matches the Rfam family "Bacterial small subunit ribosomal RNA", at positions 527 to 896 of the family's 1533-position model. The record is from RNAcentral.